RNAcentral lists this ribosomal RNA (331 nucleotides) under uncultured Pseudomonadota bacterium. Its description in RNAcentral is "bacterial SSU rRNA". It matches the Rfam family "Bacterial small subunit ribosomal RNA", at positions 568 to 898 of the family's 1533-position model. The record is from RNAcentral. Lineage: Bacteria; Pseudomonadati; Pseudomonadota.
CGCGUAGGUGGUUGUAUAAGUUAGAUGUGAAAUCCCUGGGCUUAACCUAGGAACUGCAUCUAGAACUGUAUGACUAGAGUAUUGUAGAGGGUAGUGGAAUUUCCGGUGUAGCGGUGAAAUGCGUAGAGAUCGGAAGGAACACCAGUGGCGAAGGCGGCUACCUGGACAAAUACUGACACUGAGGCGCGAAAGCGUGGGGAGCAAACAGGAUUAGAUACCCUGGUAGUCCACGCUGUAAACGAUGAGAACUAGAUGUUGGUAGGCUUGACCUAUUAGUAUCGAAGCUAACGCGAUAAGUUCUCCGCCUGGGGAGUACGGCCGCAAGGUUAAA